AUACGUAGGGCGCGAGCGUUGUCCGGAUUUACUGGGUGUAAAGGGUGCGUAGGCGGCUCUGCAAGUCAGGUGUGAAACCCAUCGGCUUAACUGAUGGACUGCAUUUGAAACUGUGGGGCUUGAGUGGAGUAGAGGCAGACGGAAUUCCCGGUGUAGCGGUGAAAUGCGUAGAGAUCGGGAAGAACACCAGUGGCGAAGGCGGUCUGCUGGGCUCUAACCGACGCUGAGGCACGAAAGCAUGGGUAGCAAACAGGAUUAGAUACCCUGGUAGUCCAUGCCGUAAACGAUGAUUACUAGGUGUGGGGAGUCUGACCCUCUCCGUGCCGGAGUUAACACAAUAAGUAAUCCACCUGGGGAGUACGGCCGCAAGGUUGAA
This 376-nucleotide ribosomal RNA is filed under the name uncultured bacterium. RNAcentral's name for it is "bacterial SSU rRNA". It matches the Rfam family "Bacterial small subunit ribosomal RNA", at positions 523 to 898 of the family's 1533-position model. The record is from RNAcentral.